Molecule: unclassified non-coding RNA, 40 nt
Filed under: Leishmania guyanensis
Lineage: Eukaryota; Euglenozoa; Kinetoplastea; Trypanosomatida; Trypanosomatidae
Description: Small nucleolar RNA TBR5
Source: RNAcentral
GAGGUGAUCUACAACGAGGCCGAUGUAAUUGGCCGCGGUC